RNAcentral lists this ribosomal RNA (332 nucleotides) under uncultured bacterium. RNAcentral's name for it is "bacterial SSU rRNA". It matches the Rfam family "Bacterial small subunit ribosomal RNA", at positions 568 to 898 of the family's 1533-position model. The record is from RNAcentral.
UGCGCAGGCGGUUUUGUAAGACAGAUGUGAAAUCCCCGGGCUUAACCUGGGAACUGCGUUUGUGACUGCAAGACUUGAGUAUUGCAGAGGGGGGUAGAAUUCCACGUGUAGCAGUGAAAUGCGUAGAGAUGUGGAGGAAUACCGAUGGCGAAGGCAGCCCCCUGGGUCAAUACUGACGCUCAUGCACGAAAGCGUGGGGAGCAAACAGGAUUAGAUACCCUGGUAGUCCACGCCCUAAACGAUGCCAACUAGGUGUUGGGGAAGGAGACUUCCUUAGUACCGUAGCUAACGCGUGAAGUUGGCCGCCUGGGGAGUACGGUCGCAAGAUUAAA